GCUUACAACAAGCUGGUGAUUAAGAACAGAGCAUCGUAGCCCCAGGAAGAGCCUUCUAGUACCCACUUGCUGGGAUGGACCACCUUUUUUAGUUCUACGCCAGUUCCUGCUGAGGUGCAGUUGCUGCUGCCACAGCAGUUUGUUUCAUUCUCUCCGAGGGGUGCCAGGGACUCAGCCCCCAAGCGUUGACCACUUAAUAGGAAGAUCCACAAAUAAAACCAGAAGAGAAAUGGAAGAUCCUCCGAAAAGGAAAAACGCAGGCUAGAGAGAUGGAUAGGCCGUAUCGAGUACUGGAUGAUCUUCCAAUGGAUUGAGGUUCAGUUCCCAGCACCCACAUGAUAGCUAACGACCAUCUGUAACUCCGGUUCCAACGAAUCUGAUGCUCUCUUCUGGACCCCAAAGUUGCCGGUCACACACCUGGCACACGGCCGUACGCACAGACGAUAUACCCAUACAUAGAAAAUAACUUUUAAGGAGGAAAGUAGAAGUACCUUAUGAUCCAGCACUCACACUAUUGGGUAAUAGAGCCAUAGAAAGUAAAAAUCAAUGUCUUGAUGAGACAUCUGCACUUUUCCGUGUUUACGGCGCCACCCGGGAAAUUAGAGGUGAAGGAACAUAAAUAGCCUUCAACUGAUGAAAAGAUAAAGAAAUGGUACAUCCAAAUAUGUAGUACUAUUAAACCGUAAAAGUGAAAUUCUGUCAUCUAAGACACGAAUAUAAUCAGACGGCCUUACAUGAGAAAGAU
Molecule: long non-coding RNA, 745 nt
Filed under: Rattus norvegicus (Norway rat)
Lineage: Eukaryota; Metazoa; Chordata; Mammalia; Rodentia; Muridae
Description: long non-coding RNA NONRATT033040
Source: RNAcentral